RNAcentral lists this ribosomal RNA (302 nucleotides) under uncultured bacterium. RNAcentral describes it as "partial 16S ribosomal RNA". It matches the Rfam family "Bacterial small subunit ribosomal RNA", at positions 508 to 809 of the family's 1533-position model. The record is from RNAcentral.
GCAGUAGCCGCGGUAAUACAGAGGGUGCGAGCGUUAAUCGGAUUUACUGGGCGUAAAGCGUGCGUAGGCGGCUUCUUAAGUCGGAUGUGAAAUCCCUGAGCUUAACUUAGGAAUUGCAUUCGAUACUGGGAAGCUAGAGUAUGGGAGAGGAUGGUAGAAUUCCAGGUGUAGAGGUGAAAUGCGUAGAGAUCUGGAGGAAUACCGAUGGCGAAGGCAGCCAUCUGGCCUAAUACUGACGCUGAGGUACGAAAGCAUGGGGAGCAAACAGGAUUAGAUACCCCCGUAGUCCCUGUCUCUUAUCC